UUCCAAUAAAUAUGUCAGCCUGG
RNAcentral lists this non-coding RNA (23 nucleotides) under Cricetulus griseus (Chinese hamster). Lineage: Eukaryota; Metazoa; Chordata; Mammalia; Rodentia; Cricetidae. The record is from RNAcentral.